Molecule: ribosomal RNA, 505 nt
Filed under: uncultured bacterium
Lineage: Bacteria
Description: partial 16S ribosomal RNA
Rfam family: Bacterial small subunit ribosomal RNA
Source: RNAcentral
GACGAACGCUGGCGGCGUGCCUAAUACAUGCAAUUAGAACGCACAGUUUAUACCGUAGCUUGCUACACCAUAAACUGUGAGUUGCGAACGGGUGAGUAACGCGUAGGUAACCUGCCUGGUAGCGUGGGAUAACUAUUGGCAACUAUAGCUAAUACCGCAUAAUAUUGAUUAUUGCAUGAUAAUUGAUUUAAAGAUGCUAUUUCAUCACUACCAGAUGGACCUGCGUUGUAUUAGCUAGUAGGUGAGGUAACGGCUCACCUAGGCGACGAUACAUAGCCGACCUGAGAGGGUGAUCGGCCACACUGGGACUGAGACACGGCCCAGACUCCUACGGGAGGCAGCAGUAGGGAAUCUUCGGCAAUGGACGAAAGUCUGAACGAGCAAAGCCGCGUGAGUGAAGAAGGUUUUCGGAUCGUAAAGCUCGGUUGUAAGAGAAGAAAGGGUGUGAGAGUGGAAAGUUCACACUGUGACGGUAUCUUACCAGAAAGGGACGGCUAACUACGUG